AUUGAACGCUGGCGGCAGGCCUAACACAUGCAAGUCGAGCGGAUGAAGGGAGCUUGCUCCUGGAUUCAGCGGCGGACGGGUGAGUAAUGCCUAGGAAUCUGCCUGGUAGUGGGGGAUAACGUCCGGAAACGGGCGCUAAUACCGCAUACGUCCUGAGGGAGAAAGUGGGGGAGCUUCGGACCUCACGCUAUCAGAUGAGACUAGGUCGGAUUAGCUAGUUGGUGGGGUAAAGGCGUACCAAGGCGACGAUACGUAACUGGUCUGAGAGGAUGAGCAGGCACCUGGGAACUGAGACACGUUCCAGACUCCUACGGGAGGCAGCAGUGGGGAAUAUUGGACGAUGGGCGAAUGCCUGAUCCUGCCAUGCCGCGUGUGUGAAGAAGGUCUUCUGAUUGUAAAGCACUUUAAGUUGGGAGGAAGGGCAGUAAGUUAAUACCUUGCUGUUUUGACGUUACCAACAGAAUAAGCACCGGCUAACUUCGUG
Molecule: ribosomal RNA, 484 nt
Filed under: uncultured bacterium
Lineage: Bacteria
Description: partial 16S ribosomal RNA
Rfam family: Bacterial small subunit ribosomal RNA
Source: RNAcentral